ACGAAGGGGGCUAGCGUUGUUCGGAAUUACUGGGCGUAAAGCGCACGUAGGCGGAUUGUUUAGUUAGGGGUGAAAUCCCAGGGCUCAACCCUGGAACUGCCUCUAAUACUGGCAAUCUCGAGUCCGAGAGAGGUGAGUGGAAUUCCGAGUGUAGAGGUGAAAUUCGUAGAUAUUCGGAGGAACACCAGUGGCGAAGGCGGCUCACUGGCUCGGUACUGACGCUGAGGUGCGAAAGCGUGGGGAGCAAACAGG
Molecule: ribosomal RNA, 252 nt
Filed under: uncultured bacterium
Lineage: Bacteria
Description: partial 16S ribosomal RNA
Rfam family: Bacterial small subunit ribosomal RNA
Source: RNAcentral